This 90-nucleotide transfer RNA is filed under the name Streptomyces caelestis. Its description in RNAcentral is "tRNA-Arg". Lineage: Bacteria; Bacillati; Actinomycetota; Actinomycetes; Kitasatosporales; Streptomycetaceae. The record is from RNAcentral.
GGAUGCGGUGGCGGAGGCAUGAGCCUCAGCGGGCACCGCGGCUGACCGGGUGCCCGCGCUUCACCACCGGUUCGAGUCCAGGCGCCCUCG